AGCAUAUCAAUAAGCGGAGGAAAAGAAACUAACAAGGAUUCCCUUAGUAACUGCGAGUGAACAGGGAAGAGCUCAAAUUUAAAAUCUGGCAGUGUUUGGCUGUCCGAGUUGUAAAUUAGAGAAGUGUAUUAUGCUGAACCCUGUGCAAAAGCUUCUUGGAACAGAGCAUCAUAGAGGGUGAUAAUCCCGUCUUUGGUACAGGCUGUGUAGGCUAUUCCAUACACUUUCAAAGAGUCGAGUUGUUUGGGAAUGCAGCUCUAAAUGGGUGGUAAAUUCCAUCUAAAGCUAAAUAUUGGCGAGAGACCGAUAGCGCACAAGUACCGUGAGGGAAAGAUGAAAAGAACUUUGAAAAGAGAGUUAAACAGUACGUGAAAUUGUUGAAAGGGAAACGCUUGAAGUCAGUCAUGUCCUUAGAUAAUCAACCCAACUUUGGUUGGGUGUACUUUCUAUUGGACAGGUCAGCAUCAGUUUUGAUCAUUGGAGAAGGGGUCUAGAAAGGUAGCAUCUUUUGGGAUGUGUUAUAGUCUGGACUUAAAUACAGUGAUUGGGACUGAGGAACUCAGUGUGAUCAGGCUUUGGCUUGGUUUGGAGGUUUCGGCCUUACAUACGCGCUUUGGAUGCUGGCAUAAUGGCUUUAAUCGACCCGUCUUGAAACACGGACCAAGGAGUCUAACAUACAUGCAAGUGUUUGGGUGGAAAACCCAUGCGCGAAAUGAAAGUGAAAGUUAAGAACCCUCAAGGGUGCAUUGACGCCCGGCCCUGAGCAAUUUGCGACGGAGCUGCGGUAGAGCAUGCAUGUUGGGACCCGAAAGAUGGUGAACUAUGCCUGAAUAGGGUGAAGCCAGAGGAAACUCUGGUGGAAGCUCGCAGCGAUUCUGACGUGCAAAUCGAUCGUCAAAUUUGGGUAUAGGGGCGAAAGACUAAUCGAACCAUCUAGUAGCUGGUUCCCGCCG
RNAcentral lists this ribosomal RNA (953 nucleotides) under Camarophyllopsis atrovelutina. RNAcentral's name for it is "LSU rRNA". It matches the Rfam family "Eukaryotic large subunit ribosomal RNA", at positions 37 to 963 of the family's 3401-position model. Lineage: Eukaryota; Fungi; Basidiomycota; Agaricomycetes; Agaricales; Clavariaceae. The record is from RNAcentral.